AGUGAACGCUGGCGGUAGGCCUAACACAUGCAAGUCGAACGGCAGCACAGUAAGAUCUUGCUCUUACGGGUGGCGAGUGGCGGACGGGUGAGGAAUACAUCGGAAUCUACUUUUUCGUGGGGGAUAACGUAGGGAAACUUACGCUAAUACCUCAUACGACCUACGGGUGAAAGCAGGGGAUCUUCUGACCUUGCGCGAUUGUAUUAGCCGAUGUCGGAUUAGCUAGUUGGCUGGGUAAAGGCCCACCAAGGCGACGCUCCGUAGCUGGUCUGAGAGGAUGAUCAGCCACACUGGAACUGAGACACGGUCCAGACUCCUACGGGAGGCAGCAGUGGGGAAUAUUGGACAAUGGGCGCAAGCCUGAUCCAGCAAUACCGCGUGGGUGAAGAAGGCCUUCGGGUUGUAAAGCCCUUUUGUUGGGAAAGAAAAGCAGCAGGUUAAUACCCCGCUGUUCUGACGGUACCCAAAGAAUAAGCACCGGCUAACUUCGUG
RNAcentral lists this ribosomal RNA (492 nucleotides) under uncultured bacterium. RNAcentral describes it as "partial 16S ribosomal RNA". It matches the Rfam family "Bacterial small subunit ribosomal RNA", at positions 29 to 507 of the family's 1533-position model. The record is from RNAcentral.